GCUGGGUGUGGUGGUGUGUGCCUGUAGUCUCAGCUACUUGGGAGGCUGAGGUGGGAGGAUCACUUGAGCCUGGGAGGUCAAGGCUGCAGUGAGCUGUGGUCGUGCCACUGCACUCCAGCCUGGGCAACAGAGUGAGACCUUGUCUCAA
This is an unclassified non-coding RNA of Macaca fascicularis (crab-eating macaque), 148 nucleotides long. It matches the Rfam family "Metazoan signal recognition particle RNA". Rfam says of the family: The signal recognition particle (SRP) is a universally conserved ribonucleoprotein. It is involved in the co-translational targeting of proteins to membranes. The record is from Ensembl. NCBI's taxonomy places the organism in Eukaryota, Metazoa, Chordata, Mammalia, Primates, Cercopithecidae.